GGGGCCGUAAUGGUUUCGACGGGGGUGCGGAGGCAGGAUCAGCGGGCGGAUGCGCCUGGCAUCCAUAAAACGGGCAAUUAUAAAUUAAAGAACAACACUCGUUCUUACGCUGUCGCCGCUUAAUGGCGACCGUCCCGCCCGGGAGGUCCGCGGCCCGGGAUGGGGCGUCGAUCAGCGGAGCACGUGCGUACGCUAAGCUUUGCGCGUACCAUGCACAAUGAAGCUACUGAACCCGGCAGCAUGACGACCUGCGGCCGGGAGAGGGAAUGCAAAUGAUCGUCUGCGCCCGGAGAAGGUCCUGAGGAAGCGCUUUCGGACAGGGGUUCAACUCCCCUCGGCUCCACCA
This 346-nucleotide transfer-messenger RNA is filed under the name bovine gut metagenome. It matches the Rfam family "transfer-messenger RNA". From Rfam's summary of the family: Bacterial tmRNA, also known as 10Sa RNA or SsrA, is named for its dual tRNA and mRNA-like properties. Its role is to liberate the mRNA from a stalled ribosome. The record is from RNAcentral.